UAAUCUUACAAUACACAAAAUAUUCAUGAGAAACAAUUGGUCAACUAUAAAAUCUAAGGAAACCGAUAUGCAAUUUGUGAGCCAUUCACAAACUGUAAAUGUGUAUGUGAUGAAACAAAGUAAGAGGAGUGAUAAAAACCUACUGUUAAUUUUCAUUUAUCAAAACUAAUCUCUUUCAAAUUUAAUGUUUAAUAAAAUGAUGACUCUUUCUACAAAAAAAAAUGCAGUCAAAUUGAAU
This 238-nucleotide long non-coding RNA is filed under the name Mytilus galloprovincialis (Mediterranean mussel). Lineage: Eukaryota; Metazoa; Mollusca; Bivalvia; Mytilida; Mytilidae. The record is from RNAcentral.